CACGAAGGGGGCUAGCGUUGCUCGGAAUCACUGGGCGUAAAGCGCACGUAGGCGGAUUGUUAAGUCAGGGGUGAAAUCCUGGAGCUCAACUCCAGAACUGCCUUUGAUACUGGCGAUCUUGAGUCCGGGAGAGGUGAGUGGAACUGCGAGUGUAGAGGUGAAAUUCGUAGAUAUUCGCAAGAACACCAGUGGCGACGGCGGCUCACUGGCCCGGUACUGACGCUGAGGUGCGAAAGCGUGGGGAGCAAACAGG
Molecule: ribosomal RNA, 253 nt
Filed under: uncultured bacterium
Lineage: Bacteria
Description: partial 16S ribosomal RNA
Rfam family: Bacterial small subunit ribosomal RNA
Source: RNAcentral